This 527-nucleotide ribosomal RNA is filed under the name uncultured Ferribacterium sp. RNAcentral's name for it is "bacterial SSU rRNA". It matches the Rfam family "Bacterial small subunit ribosomal RNA", at positions 521 to 1044 of the family's 1533-position model. Lineage: Bacteria; Pseudomonadati; Pseudomonadota; Betaproteobacteria; Rhodocyclales; Azonexaceae. The record is from RNAcentral.
UAAUACGUAGGGUGCGAGCGUUAAUCGGAAUUACUGGGCGUAAAGCGUGCGCAGGCGGUUUUGUAAGACAGGCGUGAAAUCCCCGGGCUCAACCUGGGAACUGCGUUUGUGACUGCAAGGCUAGAGUAUGGCAGAGGGGGGUGGAAUUCCACGUGUAGCAGUGAAAUGCGUAGAGAUGUGGAGGAACACCGAUGGCGAAGGCAGCCCCCUGGGCCAAUACUGACGCUCAUGCACGAAAGCGUGGGUAGCAAACAGGAUUAGAUACCCUGGUAGUCCACGCCCUAAACGAUGUCAACUAGGUGUUGGGAGGGUAAAACCUUUUAGUACCGGAGCUAACGCGUGAAGUUGACCGCCUGGGGAGUACGGCCGCAAGGUUAAAACUCAAAGGAAUUGACGGGGACCCGCACAAGCGGUGGAUGAUGUGGAUUAAUUCGAUGCAACGCGAAAAACCUUACCUACCCUUGACAUGUCCAGAAGCCCUUAGAGAUUUGGGUGUGCCCGAAAGGGAGCUGGAACACAGGUGCUGC